Molecule: non-coding RNA, 966 nt
Organism: Macaca mulatta (Rhesus monkey)
Lineage: Eukaryota; Metazoa; Chordata; Mammalia; Primates; Cercopithecidae
Source: RefSeq, a predicted model, not a curated record
AUGACUGGGGGCACUGAAAUAGGAAAGACACUUGCAGAAAAGAGCCGAGGCCUAUUUAGUGCUAAUGACUGGCAAUGUAAAACUUGCAGCAAUGUGAAUUGGGCCAGAAGAUCAGAGUGUAAUAUGUGUAAUACUCCAAAGUAUGCUAAAUUAGAAGAAAGAACAGGAUAUGGUGGUGGUUUUAAUGAAAGAGAAAAUGUUGAAUAUAUAGAAAGAGAAGAAUCUGAUGGUGAAUAUGAUGAGUUUGGACGUAAAAAGAAAAAAUACAGAGGGAAAGCAGUUGGUCCUGCAUCUAUAUUAAAGGAAGUUGAAGAUAAAGAAUCAGAGGGAGAAGAAGAGGAUGAGGAUGAAGAUCUUUCCAAAUACAAAUUAGAUGAGGAUGAGGAUGAAGAUGAUGCUGAUCUCUCAAAAUAUAAUCUUGAUGCCAGUGAAGAAGAAGAUAGUAAUAAAAAGAAAUCUAAUAGACGAAGUCGCUCAAAGUCUCGAUCUUCACAUUCACGAUCUUCAUCACGCUCAUCCUCCCCCUCAAGUUCAAGGUCUAGGUCCAGGUCCCGUUCAAGAAGUUCUUCCAGUUCGCAGUCAAGAUCUCGUUCCAGUUCCAGAGAACGUUCGAGAUCUCGUGGGUCGAAAUCAAGAUCCAGCUCCAGGUCCCACAGGGGCUCUUCUUCCCCACGAAAAAGAUCUUAUUCAAGUUCAUCAUCUUCUCCUGAGAGGAACAGAAAGAGAAGUCGUUCUAGAUCUUCUUCAUCUGGUGAUCGCAAAAAAAGACGAACAAGAUCACGGUCACCCGAAAGCCAGGUGAUUGGUGAAAACACUAAACAACCCUGAGCCCAGGGCCAACCCCUACGGAACACCACUACUUUACCCAGACGCCACAGGUCAUCUUCUGGAUCAUCCCAUUCCGGUUCCCGUUCAAGUUCAAAAAAUAAAUAAUGUAUUAAAAUUUACAUCUUAAAAAAAAAAAAA